RNAcentral lists this long non-coding RNA (872 nucleotides) under Eucalyptus grandis. RNAcentral's name for it is "long non-coding RNA (EGRA_LNC000846)". Lineage: Eukaryota; Viridiplantae; Streptophyta; Magnoliopsida; Myrtales; Myrtaceae. The record is from RNAcentral.
UUGAAAUCAUGCUAUUCUUUAACCAAGGCCCCAUCACUAAUCGCUUGGAGGAAGACCGCAUGUGCAAGUGGUUCUAUAUGUGAAGUCAAGCAAAAAAUGAGAUUUGUUAACAAGAGUACCAUUUAGAUGUCCACUUCAAGCUACAGUUUUGUGACUGGGAGAGGCUUUUUUCUUGAAAAAGCAAAUGCGGUGGAAUCAGCAAUAAUCUGUCAAUUGCAGACAAGAGUUUCAAAGAAAAGGUUUUCAAGAAGACAGUAGUUUCUCAUUUGGAAGAAUUUAGAACAAAAAUACAGGCGUUCAUUAGUGUAAAAUGAUCUCUCUAGGCUGGUUACGUCGGAAAAUUCAUAUGUAGGCAUUUUGCAAUCACUUUGGUCUUAUUAUCUCAAACUUGAUCUAUUUAAGCAUGAAUCUAAAAGCAGAAGAGACACAGCCAUGUACAUUUUCAUACCUAAAACAAGUAGAGAGACCAGUUCAUUCUUGAAGAGCAGCAUUACUUUUCCCCUUCCAGAUUCACUCAGGUGGAUGCAUGGAGCUCACGCCGCUUGGCAAAUUCUCGAUCAAGUACUGGGUUCUGGAGUGGAGUAUUGAGUUGUUUUAUGCAAAUUCUCGAUCAAAGGUUUGUCCGAGUCUCUAGUGUGGAUGGAGUUUAUAUAGGGUCUUUUUCUUGAAUGAGAAUUGGUGUAUUUUUGGUUGGUGAUUAAGAAAUGUUAAAUAGUUUUGGCUAGUCUGUCGUAUAUGAAUGUAUGCCUUUCUUAAAAUUAUCGGUAAUCAAAAUGUUGUCUUGAAAUAUUAUCAAGCAAGGUAAACUGGUGCUGCUUCUAUUACAGGUUUGGUUGGUCUAUGUAAUGAUCAAGGCUUACUUUGGGACUUAA